RNAcentral lists this ribosomal RNA (460 nucleotides) under uncultured bacterium. RNAcentral describes it as "partial 16S ribosomal RNA". It matches the Rfam family "Bacterial small subunit ribosomal RNA", at positions 338 to 795 of the family's 1533-position model. The record is from RNAcentral.
CCUACGGGAGGCAGCAGUGAGGAAUAUUGGUCAAUGGCCGGAAGGCUGAACCAGCCAUGCCGCGUGAAGGUCAGUGCCCUAUGGGCGUUAAACUUCUUUUGUGCGGGAGCAAUAAUGGUCACGUGUGGCCAGACGAGAGUACCGUACGAAUAAGCAUCGGCUCACUUCGUGCCAGCAGCCGCGGUAAUACGGGGGAUGCAAGCGUUAUCCGGAUUUAUUGGGUUUAAAGGGUGCGUAAGCUGUGAGGUAAGUCAGCGGGGAAAUGCCCCCGCUCAACGGGGUGAAGUGCCAUUGAUACUGCCUUGCUGGAAUGCGGAUGCCGUGGGAGGAAUGUGUGGUGUAGCGGUGAAAUGCAUAGAGAUCACACAGAACACCGAUUGCGAAGGCAUCUCACGAAUCCGCGAUUGACGCUGAUGCACGAAAGCGUGGGUAUCAAACAGGAUUAGAUACCCGAGUAGUC